This 561-nucleotide ribosomal RNA is filed under the name Aspergillus niger. Its description in RNAcentral is "eukaryotic LSU rRNA". The stretch from base 176 to 329 matches the Rfam family "5.8S ribosomal RNA". Lineage: Eukaryota; Fungi; Ascomycota; Eurotiomycetes; Eurotiales; Aspergillaceae. The record is from RNAcentral.
GGGGGGGGCCCAACCCUCCCAUCCGUGUCUAUUGUACCCUGUUGCUUCGGCGGGCCCGCCGCUUGUCGGCCGCCGGGGGGGCGCCUCUGCCCCCCGGGCCCGUGCCCGCCGGAGACCCCAACACGAACACUGUCUGAAAGCGUGCAGUCUGAGUUGAUUGAAUGCAAUCAGUUAAAACUUUCAACAAUGGAUCUCUUGGUUCCGGCAUCGAUGAAGAACGCAGCGAAAUGCGAUAACUAAUGUGAAUUGCAGAAUUCAGUGAAUCAUCGAGUCUUUGAACGCACAUUGCGCCCCCUGGUAUUCCGGGGGGCAUGCCUGUCCGAGCGUCAUUGCUGCCCUCAAGCCCGGCUUGUGUGUUGGGUCGCCGUCCCCCUCUCCGGGGGGACGGGCCCGAAAGGCAGCGGCGGCACCGCGUCCGAUCCUCGAGCGUAUGGGGCUUUGUCACAUGCUCUGUAGGAUUGGCCGGCGCCUGCCGACGUUUUCCAACCAUUCUUUCCAGGUUGACCUCGGAUCAGGUAGGGAUACCCGCUGAACUUAAGCAUAUCAAUAAGGCGAGAGGAA